Molecule: ribosomal RNA, 597 nt
Filed under: uncultured bacterium
Lineage: Bacteria
Description: bacterial SSU rRNA
Rfam family: Bacterial small subunit ribosomal RNA
Source: RNAcentral
AGAGUUUGAUCAUGGCUCAGGAUGAACGCUGGCGGCGUGCUUAACACAUGCAAGUCGAACGAACCUUCGGGUUAGUGGCGGACGGGUGAGUAACGCGUGAGAAUCUGCCCUCAGGAGGGGGAUAACAGUUGGAAACGACUGCUAAUACCCCAUAUGCCGAGAGGUAAAAUGAAUUUUGCCUGGGGAUGAGCUCGCGUCUGAUUAGCUUGUUGGUGGGGUAAAGGCCUACCAAGGCUUCGAUCAGUAGCUGGUCUGAGAGGACGAUCAGCCACACUGGGACUGAGACACGGCCCAGACUCCUACGGGAGGCAGCAGUGGGGAAUUUUCCGCAAUGGGCGCAAGCCUGACGGAGCAACGCCGCGUGAGGGAUGGAGGCCUUUGGGCUGUAAACCUCUUUUCUCAAGGAAGAAGAUCUGACGGUACUUGAGGAAUAAGCCACGGCUAAUUCCGUGCCAGCAGCCGCGGUAAUACGGGAGUGGCAAGCGUUAUCCGGAAUUAUUGGGCGUAAAGCGUCCGCAGGCGGCCGUUUAAGUCUGUUGUUAAAUCGUGGAGCUCAACUCCAUCACGGCAAUGGAAACUGUUCGGCUUGAGUAUGGU